AGCGAACGCUGGCGGCAGGCUUAACACAUGCAAGUCGAACGGCAGCACAGUAAGAGCUUGCUCUUACGGGUGGCGAGUCGCGGACGGGUGAGGAAUAUAUCGUAAUCUACUCUUUCGUGUGGGUUAACGUAGCGAAACUUACUCUAAUACCGCAUACCACCUACGGUUGAAAGCAUGGGAUCUUCUGACCUUGCGCGAUUGAAUGAGCCGAUGUCGGAUUAGAUAGUUGGCGGGGUAAAGGCCCACCAUGGCGCCGAUCCGUAGCUCGUCUGAGUGGAGGGUAGGCGACACGGGAACGGGGACACGGACAAGGCUACUGCGGGAGGGAGCAGUGGGGAAUAGUGGACAAUAGGCGCAAGCCUGAUCCAGCCGGACCGCGUGGGUGGAGGAAACCUUCGGGUUGUGAAGACCUUUUGUUGGGAAAGAAAAGCAGCAGGUUAAUACCCCGCUGUUCUGACGGUAACCAAAGAAUAAGCACCGGCUAACUUCGUG
Molecule: ribosomal RNA, 492 nt
Filed under: uncultured bacterium
Lineage: Bacteria
Description: partial 16S ribosomal RNA
Rfam family: Bacterial small subunit ribosomal RNA
Source: RNAcentral